This 73-nucleotide transfer RNA is filed under the name Stegodyphus mimosarum. It matches the Rfam family "tRNA". Rfam says of the family: Transfer RNA (tRNA) molecules are approximately 80 nucleotides in length. Their secondary structure includes four short double-helical elements and three loops (D, anti-codon, and T loops). The record is from Rfam by way of RNAcentral. Lineage: Eukaryota; Metazoa; Arthropoda; Arachnida; Araneae; Eresidae.
GCCUUCGUGGUGCAAUGGUCAGCACAUUCGAGGCGUAUUCGACAGAUCCGGGGUUCGAAUCCCGGUGAGGGCA